GGAGGGGUGGCAGAGUGGUUGAAUGCACCGGUCUUGAAAACCGGCGUAGGUUAAUAGCCUACCGUGGGUUCAAAUCCCACCUCCUCCGCCA
RNAcentral lists this transfer RNA (91 nucleotides) under Oceanimonas baumannii. Its description in RNAcentral is "tRNA-Ser". It matches the Rfam family "tRNA". Rfam says of the family: Transfer RNA (tRNA) molecules are approximately 80 nucleotides in length. Their secondary structure includes four short double-helical elements and three loops (D, anti-codon, and T loops). The record is from RNAcentral. Lineage: Bacteria; Pseudomonadati; Pseudomonadota; Gammaproteobacteria; Aeromonadales; Aeromonadaceae. RNAcentral also lists the same sequence under 7 other names.